GAGCUAGUCCUCAAAAGGUAGGCAGGAUUUCAACAGGCAGGGUUGCUAAUGAUAGCUUAAUGCUGAUAAAUAUCUUACUAUGUGUGAGACAUUGUUCUACAUGGUUUCCAUAUGUUAACACACUAAAUCCUCACAACAGCUCUGUGAAUAACAGAGUCACGACUAUCCCAUUUUACAGAUUAGGAAACCAAGGCCCAGGGAGGUUAACUGAGGAGCCCAGAUCACACAGCUGGCAAGUAGCAGAGUCCACGUCGAAACGCAGGCAGCCUAUCUCUUUACCAUGUCUCCAACUGGGGCAGAGAUGGAGGUAUAUAUCAUUCCUGGCAGAGAGAAAAAUGUAAGCAACGCUCUGACAGUCUUGGCUUGGUCAAUGUCUGGCACAACACAGCAAUUAAGACUGUGGGCUUUAAAGAGAGGGGCUGCAUCUUUAAUGUGAUUUUAGAUGAUAUGCUGUAUGAGUCAGAAUAGCUUAGGUUACGCUGCAGUAAAUAAACAACCUGAAAGACUUAAUGAAUUAUAACACCAAGCUUAUUUCUUGCUUGUGAUUUAUCCAUUGAAAGGACAUUUGGGCUGUUUCCACCUUUUGGCUAUUGUAAAUAAUGCUAUGAGGAACGUAUAUUUGAAUCCCUGUUUUCAACUUUUUUGGGUAUAUACCUAGGAGUGGAAUUGCUGGGUCAUAUGGCAAUUCUGUGUCUAACUUUGUGAAGUACCGUCAAACUAUUUUCCACAGGGGCAUUUUACUUUCCCACCAGCCAUGUCUAAAUUCUCUGAUACAUUUUAACUUGGACCUAGAGAGUGGCUCUUAGUUCCUUCCUGGUCAUGGUGAGGGCUACUUGUC
RNAcentral lists this long non-coding RNA (838 nucleotides) under Homo sapiens (human). RNAcentral's name for it is "non-protein coding lnc-CAMK2A-1:1". The record is from RNAcentral. Lineage: Eukaryota; Metazoa; Chordata; Mammalia; Primates; Hominidae.